CAAAUACUACCUCUGUUCAGAAUUACUUGUCACACAAAUGGAUGUAUCAGAUGUAUUUUAGUUCUAGAUACAUCUAUUUUUAUUUAUUUCCGUGACAAGAAAUUUCGGAGGGAGGGAGUAGUUA
Molecule: non-coding RNA, 124 nt
Organism: Triticum aestivum (bread wheat)
Lineage: Eukaryota; Viridiplantae; Streptophyta; Magnoliopsida; Poales; Poaceae
Source: Rfam